GGCGGUUCUCAGGUGACGCACCCCAGAAUCGGGCUCCCUCCUUUCUGGUUCCUGGUGCAUCACCCAAGAACCACA
Myotis brandtii (Brandt's bat) is the source of this 75-nucleotide non-coding RNA. NCBI's taxonomy places the organism in Eukaryota, Metazoa, Chordata, Mammalia, Chiroptera, Vespertilionidae. The record is from Rfam.